CCCAGACUCCUACGGGAGGCAGCAGUGGGGGAUAUUGCACAAUGGGGGGAACCCUGAUGCAGCGACGCCGCGUGGGUGAAGGAGCGUUUCGGCGCGUAAAGCCCUAUCGGCAGGGAAGAAGGAGGACGGUACCUGACUAAGAAGCCCCGGCUAACUACGUGCCAGCAGCCGCGGUAAUACGUAGGGGGCAAGCGUUAUCCGGAUUUACUGGGUGUAAAGGGGGCGCAGACGGCAGCGCAAGCCAGGAGUGAAAGCCCGGGGCCCAACCCCGGGACUGCUCUUGGAACUGCGCGGCUGGAGUGCAGGAGGGGCAGGCGGAAUUCCUGGUGUAGCGGUGAAAUGCGUAGAUAUCAGGAGGAACACCGGUGGCGAAGGCGGCCUGCUGGACUGCGACUGACGUUGAGGCCCGAAAGCGUGGGGAGCAAACAGGAUUAGAUACCCGCGUAAC
Molecule: ribosomal RNA, 448 nt
Filed under: uncultured bacterium
Lineage: Bacteria
Description: partial 16S ribosomal RNA
Rfam family: Bacterial small subunit ribosomal RNA
Source: RNAcentral